GACGAACGCUGGUGGCGUGCUUAACACAUGCAAGUCGAACGGAAAGGCCCUGCUUUUGUGGGGUGCUCGAGUGGCGAACGGGUGAGUAACACGUGAGUAACCUGCCCUUGACUUUGGGAUAACUUCAGGAAACUGGGGCUAAUACCGGAUAGGAGCUCCUGCUGCAUGGUGGGGGUUGGAAAGUUUUGGCGGUUGGGGAUGGACUCGCGGCUUAUCAGCUUGUUGGUGGGGUAGUGGCUUACCAAGGCUUUGACGGGUAGCCGGCCUGAGAGGGUGACCGGCCACAUUGGGACUGAGAUACGGCCCAGACUCCUACGGGAGGCAGCAGUGGGGAAUAUUGCACAAUGGGCGGAAGCCUGAUGCAGCAACGCCGCGUGCGGGAUGACGGCCUUCGGGUUGUAAACCGCUUUCGCCUGUGACGAAGCGUGAGUGACGGUAAUGGGUAAAGAAGCACCGGCUAACUACGUG
This 468-nucleotide ribosomal RNA is filed under the name uncultured bacterium. Its description in RNAcentral is "partial 16S ribosomal RNA". It matches the Rfam family "Bacterial small subunit ribosomal RNA", at positions 28 to 507 of the family's 1533-position model. The record is from RNAcentral.